This 468-nucleotide ribosomal RNA is filed under the name uncultured bacterium. Its description in RNAcentral is "partial 16S ribosomal RNA". It matches the Rfam family "Bacterial small subunit ribosomal RNA", at positions 28 to 507 of the family's 1533-position model. The record is from RNAcentral.
GACGAACGCUGGCGGCGUGCUUAACACAUGCAAGUCGAACGGAAAGGCCCUGCUUUUGUUGGGUGCUCGAGUGGCGAACGGGUGAGUAACACGUGAGUAACCUGCCCUUGACUUUGGGAUUACUUCAGGAAACUGGGGCUAAUACCGGCUCCGAGCUCCUGCUGCCUGGUGGGGGUUGGAACGUUUCGGCGGUUGGGGAUGGACUCGCGGCUUAUCAGCUUGUUGGUGGGGUAGUGGCUUACCAAGGCUUUGACGGGUAGCCGGCCUGAGAGGGUGACCGGCGACAUUGGGACUGAGAGACGGCCCAGACUCCUACGGGAGGCAGCAGUGGGGAAUAUUGCACAAUGGGCGGAAGCCUGAGGCAGCAACGCCGCGUUCGGGAUGACGGCCUUCGAGGUGUAAACCGCUUUCGCCUGUGACGAAGCGUGAGUGACGGUAAUGGGUAAAGAAGCACCGGCUAACUACGUG